This 267-nucleotide ribosomal RNA is filed under the name uncultured bacterium. Its description in RNAcentral is "partial 16S ribosomal RNA". It matches the Rfam family "Bacterial small subunit ribosomal RNA", at positions 337 to 619 of the family's 1533-position model. The record is from RNAcentral.
GCCUACGGGAGGCAGCAGUGGGGAAUAUUGGGCAAUGGGCGCAAGCCUGACCCAGCAACGCCGCGUGAAGGAAGAAGGCUUUCGGGUUGUAAACUUCUUUUGACAGGGAAGAGCAGAAGACGGUACCUGUCGAAUAAGCCACGGCUAACUACGUGCCAGCAGCCGCGGUAAUACGUAGGUGGCAAGCGUUAUCCGGAUUUACUGGGUGUAAAGGGAGCGUAGGCGGUUCAGCAAGUCAGAAGUGAAAGCCCGGGGCUCAACUCCGGG